This 497-nucleotide ribosomal RNA is filed under the name uncultured bacterium. RNAcentral's name for it is "partial 16S ribosomal RNA". It matches the Rfam family "Bacterial small subunit ribosomal RNA", at positions 28 to 507 of the family's 1533-position model. The record is from RNAcentral.
GAUGAACGCUGGCGGCGUGCCUAAUACAUGCAAGUCGAGCGAACAGAUGAGGAGCUUGCUCCUCUGACGUUAGCGGCGGACGGGUGAGUAACACGUGGAUAACCUUCCUAUAAGACUGGGAUAACUUCGGGAAACCGGAGCUAAUACCGGAUAAUAUAUUGAACCGCAUGGUUCAAUAGUGAAAGACGGUUUUGCUGUCACUUAUAGAUGGAUCCGCGCCGCAUUAGCUAGUUGGUAAGGUAACGGCUUACCAAGGCAACGAUGCGUAGCCGACCUGAGAGGGUGAUCGGCCACACUGGAACUGAGACACGGUCCAGACUCCUACGGGAGGCAGCAGUAGGGAAUCUUCCGCAAUGGGCGAAAGCCUGACGGAGCAACGCCGCGUGAGUGAUGAAGGUCUUCGGAUCGUAAAACUCUGUUAUUGGGGAAGAACAAAUGUGUAAGUAACUAUGCACGUCUUGACGGUACCUAAUCAGAAAGCCACGGCUAACUACGUG